AUGGAUUCGGCUAGUAGCAGCGCGCGGACGGUGGCGGCGUGCGUGAUCGGCGGGAUCGUGCUGGGUGCCUCGGUGGUCGCGCUGCACCUCGGCGCUGGCCCCGCGGCCCCGAGUCUGCCACCGGUCGAGGCCCUCCGGCGGCGCUUCCGCCGCCGCCACCGCCCCGUGCGGGUCUACAUGGACGGCUGCUUCGACAUGAUGCACUACGGCCACUGCAACGCGCUGCGCCAGGCGCGGGCGCUCGGGGACGAGCUCGUCGUCGGCGUCGUCAGUGAUGACGAGAUCACCGCCAACAAGGGACCCCCCGUCACGCCGCUCCACGAGAGAAUGAAAAUGGUCCGUGCUGUCAAAUGGGUUGACGAUGUCAUUCCAGAUGCACCAUAUGCCAUAACCGAAGAUUUCAUGAACAAGCUAUUCAAUGAGUACAAUAUUGAUUACAUUAUUCAUGGUGAUGAUCCUUGCCUGCUACCAGAUGGCACUGACGCAUAUGCCCUUGCCAAAAAGGCUGGCCGAUAUAAGCAGAUUAAAAGAACCGAAGGAGUGUCAACAACAGACAUUGUUGGAAGAAUGCUUCUUUGUGUUAGAGAGAGACCAGUUUCUGAUAAUCAGAGCCACUCUUCACUACAAAGACAGUUCAGUCAUGGGCAUGGUCAGAAUAUUGAUGAUAGUGGAUUUGGAAAUGGAACAAAAAUAUCUCAUUUUCUUCCCACAUCUCGGCGGAUAGUUCAGUUCUCAAAUGGCAGGGGGCCAGGACCAGAUUCCCGGGUAGUUUACAUUGAUGGUGCAUUUGAUCUGUUCCAUGCUGGACAUGUCGAGAUAUUGCGACUUGCUCGAGGGCUUGGAGAUUUCUUGCUUGUGGGCAUUCACACAGAUCAGACCAUAAGUUCAACUCGAGGACCACAUCGCCCAAUCAUGAAUCUCCAUGAGCGCAGUUUGAGUGUUUUGGCUUGUCGUUAUGUUGACGAAGUAAUCAUUGGUGCUCCGUGGCACAUUUCAAAAGACAUGAUUACCACUUUUAAUAUUUCAUUGGUUGUUCAUGGAACUAUAGCUGAGAACAUGGACUAUACAGAGGAUGAUUCAAAUCCAUAUGCUGCUCCAAUUGCUAUGGGCAUUUAUCAUAAACUGGAUAGCCCUUUGGACAUCACCACUAGUACUAUUAUAAGGAGAAUAGUUUCUAACCAUGAAGCCUACCAGAAACGGAAUGAGAAGAAGGAAGCCAGCGAGAAGAAGUACUAUGACAGUAAAAGCUUUGUCAAUGGAGAGUAG
Molecule: ribosomal RNA, 1266 nt
Filed under: Triticum aestivum (bread wheat)
Lineage: Eukaryota; Viridiplantae; Streptophyta; Magnoliopsida; Poales; Poaceae
Description: partial small subunit ribosomal RNA
Source: RNAcentral